This 492-nucleotide ribosomal RNA is filed under the name uncultured bacterium. Its description in RNAcentral is "partial 16S ribosomal RNA". It matches the Rfam family "Bacterial small subunit ribosomal RNA", at positions 29 to 507 of the family's 1533-position model. The record is from RNAcentral.
AGUGAACGCUGGCGGUAGGCCUAACACAUGCAAGUCGAACGGCAGCACAGUAAGAGCUUGCUCUUACGGGUGGCGAGUGGCGGACGGGUGAGGAAUACAUCGGAAUCUACUUUUUCGUGGGGGAUAACGUAGGGAAACUUACGCUAAUACCGCAUACGACCUACGGGUUAAAGCAGGGGAUCUUCGGACCUUUCGCGAUUGAAUGAGCCGAUGUCGGAUUAGCUAGUUGGCGUGGUAAAGGCCCACCAAGGCGACGAUCCGUAGCUGGUCUGAGAGGAUGAUCAGCCACACUGGAACUGAGACACGGUCCAGACUCCUACGGGAGGCAGCAGUGGGGAAUAUUGGACAAUGGGCGCAAGCCUGAUCCAGCCAUACCGCGUGAGUGAAGAAGGCCUUCGGGUUGUAAAGCCCUUUUGUUGGGAAAGAAAAGCAGCAGGUUAAUACCCCGCUGUUCUGACGGUACCCAAAGAAUAAGCACCGGCUAACUUCGUG